This 572-nucleotide long non-coding RNA is filed under the name Mustela putorius furo (domestic ferret). RNAcentral describes it as "lncRNA (ENSMPUG00000026071.1)". Lineage: Eukaryota; Metazoa; Chordata; Mammalia; Carnivora; Mustelidae. The record is from RNAcentral.
GGCGGGCUGGACUGCUGGCCUUUCAGGGAAGGCUGAACGGAGGCCUGUCCCCUGGAUCCCUCCCCCUGUCCCCCCCCAGGGUCCCCACACCAAGACACCGGCUAGAUCCCCACCUCGUCCACUCCCCACCCUCCGUCUCUGUCCAUUUUCUUCAGCACGGCCAUAAAAGCAAUUUCCUCAGCCCACGGGCUUUGCUCGAACUUUCCUUGUGGGAGUCUGCCCUCUGAACAGGCCAGAUGGGCUGAGCUCCUCACGCUGGGAAGUCCGAUGGCACAUGGGCUCCUUCUCACCAUUCACUCACUGCCUCCACCCUCUCUCUGGCAACUUUUCAUGAGUUUUUCCAUCAACAUGCGAAGCCUGAUUUAUGUUUUGAGAGCCACACCCUUUUCAACAACACGCAUGCAGAUGCCCUACAUAAAUGAAAGGUGACCUUUACCCGUGAAAAGAAUUUCGAUGAAUUGCAGGAAAUAAUAUACUGUGCAGGGAAAACCGUCCUCUGGUCUUUUUUGUUGUUGUCCAAUAUAAAUCACUUCCCAGGAAGAACAAUCUGAGUCUAACGAGGUUCAUUAACU